UAGGGAAUCUUCGGCAAUGGGGGGAACCCUGACCGAGCAACGCCGCGUGAGUGAAGAAGGUUUUCGGAUCGUAAAGCUCUGUUGUUAAGGAAGAACGAGUGUGAGAAUGGAAAGUUCAUGCUGUGACGUUACUUAACCAGAAAGGGACGGCUAACUACGUGCCAGCAGCCGCGGUAAUACGUAGGUCCCGAGCGUUGUCCGGAUGUAUUGGGCGUAAAGCGAGCGCAGGCGGUUAGAAAAGUCUGAAGUGAAAGGCAGUGGCUCAACCAUUGUAUGAUUUGGAAACUGUUUAACUUGAGUGCAGAAGGGGAGAGUGGAAUUCCAUGUGUAGCGGUGAAAUGCGUAGAUAUAUGGAGGAACACCAGUGGCGAAGGCGACUCUCUGGUCUGUAACUGACGCUGAGGCUCGAAAGCGUGGGUAGCAAACAGG
Molecule: ribosomal RNA, 429 nt
Filed under: Bacteroidota bacterium
Lineage: Bacteria; Pseudomonadati; Bacteroidota
Description: Bacteroidetes bacterium partial 16S ribosomal RNA
Rfam family: Bacterial small subunit ribosomal RNA
Source: RNAcentral